CUGAGAGGAUGACCAGCCACACUGGAACUGAGACACGGUCCAGACUCCUACGGGAGGCAGCAGUGGGGAAUAUUGCACAAUGGGCGCAAGCCUGAUGCAGCCAUGCCGCGUGUAUGAAGAAGGCCUUCGGGUUGUAAAGUACUUUCAGCGGGGAGGAAGGGAGUAAAGUUAAUACCUUUGCUCAUUGACGUUACCCGCAGAAGAAGCACCGGCUAACUCCGUGCCAGCAGCCGCGGUAAUACGGAGGGUGCAAGCGUUAAUCGGAAUUACUGGGCGUAAAGCGCACGCAGGCGGUUUGUUAAGUCAGAUGUGAAAUCCCCGGGCUCAACCUGGGAACUGCAUCUGAUACUGGCAAGCUUGAGUCUCGUAGAGGGGGGUAGAAUUCCAGGUGUAGCGGUGAAAUGCGUAGAGAUCUGGAGGAAUACCGGU
This 429-nucleotide ribosomal RNA is filed under the name Escherichia coli. Its description in RNAcentral is "bacterial SSU rRNA". It matches the Rfam family "Bacterial small subunit ribosomal RNA", at positions 292 to 713 of the family's 1533-position model. The record is from RNAcentral. Lineage: Bacteria; Pseudomonadati; Pseudomonadota; Gammaproteobacteria; Enterobacterales; Enterobacteriaceae. RNAcentral also lists the same sequence under 2 other names.